AAAUGGGGCAAAGACCUAUGUCCUUUACAAACCACAAAACAAGGAGAAAACAUAAAAGACAUCUAGGCAAUCUUGGACCAGCAAUGCUCUCCUAUGAGCCAUAUUCAAAGCACGAUUUACUGAAAGAGGUUGGCACAGCAGACUUCCUCGAGAUGACACACUUUUGCUUUGCAGACAGCUUUGUCUAAAACUGAAAGUUAGCCAAGCUUUGUACUGCACAUUUGUAAUCCCAGCUCUAAGGAAACUAAGGCAAAAGGAUCAUGUCCUUGAGGCUAGCCUGGGCUACACAGUAAAAUCUUCUCACAAAAAGAAUCUUUCUGGUAAAAAAAAAAUAUAUAUGGCAAUAAAUGUUUGAGACACAUAUUACAUGAAGAACCAUUAUUAAAAUAUGUAAAACACUCUUAAAACUCAACAAUAAGGAAACGACUUUUUGCUGUUCUUGUUGUUUGUUUUGUUUGUUUGGGUGGAUUGGUUUGGUUGUUUUGUUUUCUAGGCAGGUUCUCUCUACAUAACCCCGGCUGUCCUGGAACUUACCAGGUAAAACAGACUGGCUUUGAACUCAUCAAGAUCUACCUGCCUCUGCUUCCCAAGUGUGUCACUACAUCUUGUUUUUUGUUUUUGUUUUUUUGACACAAAGCCUCACUCUGUAGCCCAGGCUAACCUUCAGUGCACAGUUAUUCUCUUGUCCUGGCCCUCCAAGUGCUGGAAUAAAAUGUGAGCCAUCAUAUCCUAUAACUGUUGAGUUUUGUCUGUUAUUGUUUAUUGUAAUGCUAAGGACUGGCAUCCAAGAUUUGGAAUCUGCACGUAGCCUGAGGGACCCUGCCCGAGUUGAUUCUGACUGGUAAAUAAAGAUACCAGCAGCCAAUAGCUGGAGAAAGGAAACUUACGCAGGGCUUAGGUUUCCCAGGCUAGCGACCAUGAAGGAGGGGCAGAGGGAUAAGAAGCUGCCAUGGGAUAGAGAGGAGCAUGCAGGAGACAGAAGGACAGCCACCAUGGACUAAGGGCCAAGAGAAGGUGGCCCAGAGGCUGCCCAAGUCAGUUAAGAGCAGCCCAGAUGGACACAGUAAAUAGUGCUUCAUUCACUACCGUACCUGCUUUCAUGGGGUGGUGGGGGUUGAAAUCCGGGCUUCAAGCAGUCUAGGCGGGCACCCUACCAUCUGAUCUCCAGUCCCAGCCCGGCAAGCUUUUCUGUGUCCAUCAUAAGCACAGAGCAAUUCUCUGGGCUGCUCCAUGUCCGGGCUACAUGAUGUAUCUGUUCCUGUGAAGGCACUGGGAUUGAUAGGGAUAAAGUAUGAAGCUUGGUCAAGGCCCCGGUGUUGAGGAAGUGGCCAGAUGAGAUCACACGGUGUUGAGAGGUCCCACAGACAGGCUGGCUGUGGUGGCUCAAGUUCAGAAUCUCAACAUUUGGAAGCUGGAGAGUAGAGAACCACAGGGACAAGAAUGAAGAAGAAACUGAGGGAAAGGAGGUCCUGUGACAGGUCCAAAUUGGGACCCAUCUCAUGGGGAGGCUCCAAGGCCUGACACUAUUACCGAUGCUGUGGUGUUCUUACAGACAGGAGCCUAGCAUAGCUGCCCUCUAAGGGGCCCAACAAGCUGAGACAGAAACAGAUACUUACACCCAAACAGGGGACAGAAGUCGGGAACCCCUGUGGGUGAAUUAGGAAAAAGCUGGAAGAAGCUGAGGAGAAGGGCAGCCCCAGAGGAAGACCAGCAGUCUCAACUGACCUGGACCCCAGAGGUCUCUCAGAUACUGAGCCACCAACCAGGAAGCAGACACCAGCUGAUAUGAGGCCCCCGACACAUAUACAGCAGAGGACUGCCUGGUCUGGCCUCAAUGAGAGAAGAUGCACCUAACCCUCGAGGGACUUGAGGCCCCAGGGAGUGGGGAGGCCUGGUGGGGUAUGCGGGAUGUGGGAGUGUGAGAACAUCUUCUUGGAGUCAGGGGAGGAGGAAUGGGAUGAGGAACUGUGGGAGGGCAGAACGGGAGGGGGAUAAUGAUGGGACUGUAAAAAAAAAGGAUUAAAGAUAAUAUUUUAAAAAGUGAAAAGAAUUCUUUACAAAAAAAAAGAAGCAAAAUGAGGUGAUUCUGAAAUAUCCAGAAAAUCUCUUUCCUUCUCUCUUUCUUCAUUCUUUCUUUCAAGAAAGACUAUGUUGUCCUGGGUGGUCUAGAACUCAAAAUGCAUGCUGAGCUGUCCUCAAACUCUCAGAGAGACACCUGCUUCUGGUUCUAAGUGCUGGUAUUAAAUGCUGACACCAUUACACUCCUCUCUCUCUCUCUCUCUCUCUCUCUCUCUCUCUCUCUCUCUCUCUUUCUCCCUCUCUCUCUCUCUUUUAUCUGUACCUUGAAGCAGAUUGAGAAAUUGAUUGUCAAGCCAAAUCUCCCUCUUCUUUAUGGGUUUGCUGGCAAAAUGAAAUUAAAAAAAAAAAAAGUCAUGCUUAACUUUUGCGACAAUGAUGCCGUUCUCCACAACUUGCUACAUUGCUGAUGAUUUUAAGUUUUCGAGUGGUCCAUCCCGGCAUCACCUCAUCCCCUCAUCCCCGCAUCCCCUCAUCCCCGCAUCCCCCCAGUCAGCCCAAGCUCUGUCCCUGCUGCCCAGGAGCUGCCCUCAGACUGCUAGCAGGAGUUCAUCUGUGGUAAUCGGUGAGUCACAAGUGGGAGAAAAAUCACUGUUGUUCUGAGAAGUUUCCCUUAAAUUAACAUUAUCAUGUUUUGCAUUUUAUUGUCUAAAAUGAACUCCUAGAGGAUUUUAAGUUUCUGCAAGCAUUUUCUUUCAUAAGUGAGAUGGACACAAACAAAAACUUUCUAGGAACAAGACUUGAUGCAUUAGCCUUCUUUGAGAACUUGAAAACUGUUUACCCUGUCCUCUAUUUAUUCCAUAAAUGAAAACAUGUAGGUCGGCUAGCACAGUUCCUGGUUUAUAAUUCAUCUGGUGGCCAUUUCUCCCUCUUCUAACUAGAUAAUUCUCCCUGGAGGUACAAGUGUCUAAAGUGAGUCCCAAGCUGGGGUAGUGAUUUGCCCUUUCUGCUUUAUAACCUGCCUAGUAGUGUACCAAAUACGUCACCUGGAAUCCGACUGGGUUUCUUCUUUAGAGUCCAUGUUCCGGGGGCAGGAGAGAUGGCUCAGUGGUUAAGAGCACUGGCUGCUGCUCUUCCAGAGAUCCUGAGUUCAAUUCCCAGCAAUCACAUGGUGGCUCACAACCAUCUGUAAUGAGAUCCGAUGCUCUCUUCUGGUGUGUCUGAAGACAGCUACAGUGCACUCACAUACAUAAAAUAAAUAAACAAACAAACAUUUAGAGUCCAUGUUCCAAACUUGUCGGUGAGUGGUAAAUUCUCAAGCGUAAAUGGGAUUGGGGGUUCAGAUUUGUUCAGAAAGUAGAAACCCCAAUGGGGGCAGUGCAAGCGUUCUGAAACGUUUAUCAGGGACAAUGAAAGCUAGUAGGGAAAGCCAUUGUGCAGAUGCGGGGUCAUUAACUGUCUGUAGGUUCACAUGGACAGAUGCCAGGCCUGCACUGGAAGGAGAGAGGGCCAUGGUGUUUUGCUUUGGCACAAGUCACUGAUUUUGUCCUGGCUGCAUUUCAUUAAACCAGGCCAGAACAUUGGCUGAGCAGCCGAGACAAGGACGUCCCUUUUCAGGGACAUUCAGCUUGUGUUCAGGUCCAUUCCUCUGGUUUGUAGUCUUGGGAUGUAGUGAGGAACAUACUGACUGCCCAGACCUUAUAGAGUUACAGACAUGCAUAGACUACUUUCUAGAGCCUUCUAGGUAGAGUCAUGUAGAAAUGCUAUCAUGAAAGAUGUUUGGUUACCAAAAGAAUGAUUUUUAUUUUAUGAAAUCUUGUUUUUUUGUUUUUUUUUUUUUUGUUUUUUUCUAGACAGGGUUUCUCACUGUAACAGCCCUGGCUGUCCUGGAAUUCCCUCUAAACCAGGCUGGCCUUGAACUCAUAGAGAUCCUUCUGUCUGUGCAUUCUGAGUGCUGGGACUAAAGGUGUAUACUAAGAGUGCCUGCUUGAAAACUUUUUAAACAGAUGUAGUUUUACUAGGGGAAAAAAGAGGUUUGGGGAUUGAGUAACUAGGUUUUCUCCCUUUCAAACAGAAGAAUGAAUGAAUGCAUUCUUCAUACAAUGCUAAAUUCCAUCGGACACAAAGGUGCGUGACUAUAGCAUUACCACAUAGUAGACUCCGGCAGGAGGCUUCCUGGAACCCAGAGCUCUGAGGGCGACCUAGGAAAUGUACUGAGAUUCAGUUUCCUUAAAAAAGAAAUAACCCUACAAAUUAAAAAAAAAAAAUUCAGGUCAGUAGUUCCCACUUACAAUCUCAGCAUCUAUGAGGCUAAGGCAGGAGCUCUCCCGUUCCAGGCAGCAAGGGCUUCGUGUGAGACUCUCUUCUCAAAAUUAAAACAAACUCUAACAAGAUGGUUCAGUGGGUAAGGUGCUGCCAAGCCGGAUGAUCAGACAUGAUCACAUGGUGGUGGAAGAGGACUCCUGUGAACUGCCCUCUUAACUCCACAAUUGCCUGGGGUAUGUGUGCACGUGUGUGCGUACGCAAGCACACAUAAUAAAUACACAAAUGUGAUUAAACGGACAAAUAAAAACCACUGCGGGGGGGGGGGGGGUUGGGUUGGGGAUUUAGCUCAGUGGUAGAGCGCUUGCCUAGCAAGCGCAAGGCCCUGGGUUCGGUCCCCACCUCUGGAAAAAAAAAAAACAAAACACCGCAGGGCGGUGCUGGCACACGCCUUUACUCCCAGAACAAGGGAGGCAGAGGCAGGUAGAUCUGAAUUUGAGGCCAGCCUGGUCUACAGAGUAAGGCCCAGGACAGGCAGGGAUACAUAGUGAGAACUUGUCUCUAAAACAAACAAACAAACAAACAAACAAACAAACCCAAAUCCCGUUUCUUCUAAGAGUCCAUUA
Molecule: non-coding RNA, 4904 nt
Organism: Rattus norvegicus (Norway rat)
Lineage: Eukaryota; Metazoa; Chordata; Mammalia; Rodentia; Muridae
Source: RefSeq, a predicted model, not a curated record